UACUACUGUCAUAAGCAGUAGUACUUCUAGAAGAAUGGGCGAUACAAUAAAGAAAUAUAGCUAGGGUUCUAGGCUCUUAUCUGCAAGCAAAGAUUAGGAGAUGGUUGCAUUCAUGUAGGAAGUUGUCGGGUGCAUUCAUUCAGUGUUGAAUUAGCUUGUUUCAUGAUAGCCUGAGUCAUGUGUUAGCUUACUGAAGAGUAAAAUUUUUGAAUCUUGAAAGCCAUUCAUCACUGCUGGUUCUUGGGUGUAAUAAGCAAGCUCAACUUGAGCUUUUCCAUAGCUUAAUUUUUUUUUGUUGUCUGAAACAAACCACAUUUAAUAAGUUAUCUUUAAUGGACUGCUACAUUCAUUUACUCUACAUGGUGCGGAGUGAGAGACCUUAUUGGAAUGUGUAUAUUUUAAGUAUUGUGUGUGACAAAGUCAUGUGUUUCUUUGGCUUGUUGAGUUGGUAGUUUUAAAUAUAUGCUACAUGGUUAAAACUGAAUUCUCUAAGUCAAUUGAAAUUGGUGCUUAUAGUUAAAGGACUGAAACCUUGAGAUGAUGAAUUUUCAUUAAAAAUCCUUUGGACUGAAGUUUAAUAGUGGGUACAUGCAGUUAUUUCUACAAUGCUUUUAAUAUGGGAUUUCAAGUGGAUGUGACUUGUAACUCCUUUGUUACUUAAAGCUGGUUGCAUUUCUUGCUGCUUUCUGAAAGGUCUCCCGCAAACUUUAGAUGUGUACUUAACAUCUUGCUUCUGAGACUUGAGGGAUUGUUGAUUGUCUGGUAAUAAGGAUCUGCUGAUUUCAAGUGUUGUUUACUGUUUGUUUUUAGGUAUGACGGAGAGGAAGUUUUCAGUCCUGUCCAAUAUGUUGUACAGAAGCAUUAAGGUCUUUAUGGAAGCACCAUCAGAAGUAGAACACUUGACACAGACAAGUGGAUUUUCCUGAAAGCUAUAAUGGCAUGAACAGUUUCUAAUAAUGGGAGUGUGAAGUGUCCUGGUGAAAGAUUUCCUGGCAACUGAAGUGCAACAGAUAGAGAGAUACUUGAAUGCUGCUUUUCAUUUGAAGGAAAGUGGUUAAAAAAUGUAGGAACAAUUGUUUUUAGCUUAUUCAGUGAUGAGUUGGAACACUUUGUCAGUGCUGCCUGACAAAUGUGGAUGAUCUGUAACUGGAAGGAAGUGUAACACCUGAAGAGUUUUUGUGGCUUGGAGUGGGAUGCCAUGCUUUUAAAAGCCUGCUGAAACAGCUGCUGCAAUUUUGCUUUAGUGGAUACUGUUUCCAGAAACUGCUUGUGAACCAAAAUCAC
Molecule: long non-coding RNA, 1284 nt
Organism: Athene cunicularia (burrowing owl)
Lineage: Eukaryota; Metazoa; Chordata; Aves; Strigiformes; Strigidae
Exons: 6
Source: RefSeq, a predicted model, not a curated record